Molecule: ribosomal RNA, 253 nt
Filed under: uncultured bacterium
Lineage: Bacteria
Description: partial 16S ribosomal RNA
Rfam family: Bacterial small subunit ribosomal RNA
Source: RNAcentral
UACGGGGGGGGCAAGCGUUGUUCGUAAUUACUGGGCGUAAAGGGCUCGUAGGCGGCCAACUAAGUCGGAUGUGAAAUCCCCAGGCUUAACCUGGGAACUGCAUCCGAUACUGGAUGGCUUGAAUCCGGGAGAGGGAUGCAGAAUUCCAGGUGUAGCGGUGAAAUGCGUAGAUAUCUGGAGGAAUACCGGUGGCGAAGGCGGCAUCCUGGACCGGCAUUGACGCUGAUGAGCGAAAGCUAGGGGAGCAAACGGG